UAGCCGUUGCAAAAGAAAUACCGACCCGAACCGCAUUCAAAUACGAACAAAAUCCGACCGUUGGGAAGUUCAUCGUUUUGAACUAAUCCAUUUCUUCGGAGUUAAUCAAAGAAAAAAAAAAACUCUGUUCACUCUCUCGUUGAUGAUCUCCUUCACCGAUUCGUAUCCGAUCUGAAAUGGUGCAAGAGGGAUCGACACAAGCGCUUCAGAACCAGAACAAGAAACGAUUGGAUCGAAACCGCUCGAAAUCGGAAAUGAUGGGGCUAGUUACUUUAGCCCUAGAUUCAAAUCGGCGGUCGCCAUGGCCGGCUGGGACGAAGAAGCGCUUCUAAUCGCGAGCCUGGUCGUCGAAGACACGCCGGACAGAGAGUUCCGGCAGAAGAAACGAUUAGUUCUCCAGUGCAAGAGUCCUCAGUCUGGUUCGAGAAGAAAACGAAGGGCUUCGGCAAACUUAAUCUCGAUUCCGGCGGCUGUUCUUGACCUCGAGGAAGAAGAAUCGACUGUGAAAGAUGAUGCUCUAAAACAAGAUCAAGAAACAGCAGAGGCUGACCCAAAGAAAAGUGAUUCAUUGGAUGAACAGAAAGCUGGUGCUUCUUCUUCUUCUUCUUCUUCAACAUGUUCAACUCUUCCAGCAGGAUACUCUCUCUCAACUUUCAACCUUUAGCUUUUUUUGGAUACUUAUCUUAUUCCUAAUUGCUUUGUUUUCAAUUCUUCUUUAUAGAUUUGCUUGGAAAUUUGCUUUGAACCUAGUACUACACCUUGUGGCCAUAGUUUCUGCAAGAAAUGUCUAAGAUCUGCAGCUGACAAAUGUGGAAAAAAGUGCCCAAAAUGCAGACAGCUAUAAGCAAUGGGAGAUCUUGCACUACUGUAAAUACAAUUCUUUGGAACACCAUACAAAUUCUUUUUCCUCAGGAGGUUGAAUCAAGAAAGGAAGCAAAAGGAGGGUGUAGUAGCCAUGACAAGAAGAUUCAAGACACAGAAAAGGCCUUCUAUAGUAGUUUGCAGAACCAUAACACGCGAGCAACCCAAACGUCGAGUAGACAUGGCAAUAGUAGCUCAAGAAGACGAAGGGAAAUAACUGGUCGAAACGAGGAUGGCGAAUCUAACAGUAGAAUGACAACGCAGCAAGCUCCAUUUUCAAAUGCUGUCAGCAGAGUUCAGUCCAGAAUGCACCAUCGAAGUGUUCGGCCAGUGAGGACGACGACUCGAGAUGCAGAUGUGAGUAGGAGGAGAGGUACGCCAGACCAAGAUCAGGAGGUUGCUUUGGCACUGAGAUUGCGGAGUUUAUGGAGGCUCUCAGAGAUGAUCAUAAUCAAAUGCAAACCAGAAGCUCAGUGUCCUUGGCUAGAGCUAAUCUUAGAGCAUUGGCUGCCAUUAAUGGUGCCCAGGAACUUCUCUAUCUGUAACGUUUUGAAAAGUGCAAAACUCUUACCCAAUGCCAGAUUGUUCUUGAAUAUUUGAUAAACAAUUGAGGUUUUGAAGCUCAAGGAUUCUUUCAGGUUUGAGCUGGGAGUGACAAAGCAAGAAGAACUCACAUAACUGAGAAAAUUGUACACAAUUCGUGGGGGGAAAAUAGGAAGGAACGAUGUUCAACCUCGGUGCUCGAUUUCGAAAGAGAAUCGGAAACAUUUUACAUUACAAGACCAA
Molecule: RNA transcript, 1647 nt
Organism: Cucurbita maxima (winter squash)
Lineage: Eukaryota; Viridiplantae; Streptophyta; Magnoliopsida; Cucurbitales; Cucurbitaceae
Exons: 5
Source: RefSeq, a predicted model, not a curated record